UCCAGACUCCUACGGGAGGCAGCAGUGAGGAAUAUUGGUCAAUGGGCGGGAGCCUGAACCAGCCAAGUCGCGUGAGGGAAGACGGUCCUAUGGAUUGUAAACCUCUUUUGUCGGGGAGCAAAGAGGCCACGUGUGGUCAAAAGCGAGAGUACCCGAAGAAAAAGCAUCGGCUAACUCCGUGCCAGCAGCCGCGGUAAUACGGGGGAUGCGAGCGUUAUCCGGAUUUAUUGGGUUUAAAGGGUGCGCAGGCGGGCUUGUUAGGCAGGGGGAAAAAGCCGGGGGCCCACCCCCGGCGAGCCGUUGAAACUGGCGGGCUGGAGUUGGAGAGAAGUACGCGGAAUGCGCGGUGUAGCGGUGAAAUGCUUAGAUAUCACGCAGAACUCCGAUUGCGAAGGCAGCAUACCGGCGCGCAACUGACGCUCAUGCACGAAAGCGUGGGUAUCGAACAGGAUUAGAUACCCCGGUAGG
Molecule: ribosomal RNA, 468 nt
Filed under: uncultured bacterium
Lineage: Bacteria
Description: bacterial SSU rRNA
Rfam family: Bacterial small subunit ribosomal RNA
Source: RNAcentral